This is a long non-coding RNA of Triplophysa rosa, 759 nucleotides long. RefSeq lists it as uncharacterized. The record is from RefSeq and is a predicted model, not a curated record. NCBI's taxonomy places the organism in Eukaryota, Metazoa, Chordata, Actinopteri, Cypriniformes, Nemacheilidae. The transcript is spliced from 3 exons.
GAGAACAUGUCAGUGAUGGAGGGAGAUCCUGUUACUCUACACACUAAUGCUACUCGUAUACAGGCCGAAGAUGUGAUACAGUGGUUUAAAGAUUCUCUCAUAGCUUAUUCAAACAAAACAACCACCACCACAGGCAGAUUUGUUAUGAAUUCAGAUGGAUCUCUCUUCAUUUUAAAGAUCAGAUCUAAAGAUUCUGGAGUUUAUGAUGUAAACAUCACUGGCAGCAAACACAUUCACAAGAGAUUUAAUGUUACUGUCACUGAAUCAAGGUCAAACGGGGAGAAAACUGGUCCAGGAUUAUUGGUAGUACUGAUCCUGAUGGGGAUAUUCCUGAUGAGUUGAUCAUCUGAAAGAACAAGAAGAAAAAAAAGACAAGAAAGAAACAAGAAAGAGACGGAUGAACAUUUGAAGAUUGAGACUUCCAACAACAGCUCAUAGUCACAGAAUACAGAUGAACACAAAAGUCUUUUCAAAUCUAACGUAUAUACUGCUGUAUGACAUUUAGCUGUGAAACUUAAAGGUCUAGUAAAGUUGUUAAUUUUGUUUUGUUUGUUUUUUUACCUGCAUGAACACAGGGAUUAUUCAUGUUUAGAUACAUGACACCUGUUUAAAGGGGUCAAAUGACACGACUAAAAUGAAUAUUAUGGUGUGUAAUGCAAUGUGUAUACAGGAUUUAAGGUUCAUAAAUGCUGUAUUUUCCACAUACCGUGCAUGUUUGUAUCUCCUCUUUGCUCCGCCUCUCUGAAACACGCAGAUUUU